This 1909-nucleotide long non-coding RNA is filed under the name Agrilus planipennis (emerald ash borer). RNAcentral describes it as "uncharacterized LOC108737062, transcript variant X1". Lineage: Eukaryota; Metazoa; Arthropoda; Insecta; Coleoptera; Buprestidae. The record is from RNAcentral.
AUUGACGCAAAUGUAAAGUGAUGUGCUGUGUACCUAAAAUCAAACAAAAUGUGGGAAGAAGAAAAAAGUCGAUGAUUAACAGGAAUAGGGAAGAUCCGUAACCUAAGCGUGUAAACAUGCGAAAUGAUCAAUUAGAAAGCAACAGACAUGACGACAAAAGCCAUUUACGUUGAAAUGCCACUAUACUUGUACAGUAUGUACCAUAUAUUUAUGCCACAGGAUACUUACAAUAAAAAACUAACCCUAUAAUUUACGCAAAGCUAGUCAGUGUUUUAAUGUUCUAUGCUUGACAUUGUGCUUACAGAUUUGAAUCUAAUUACUUUCAAAAUACGUAAUUGCUAAUUGGUAGUGCUUUGAUUUUAAAAUGUAAUCGAGGCUUUAAAGGCUAAAGAACAUUAUGUAGGGGCUUUGGGCUUAUAGCUGUUUUGCUAAGGGUUUGCCUAUAUCUGACUGUAAGCCCUACAAAUGAAAAUUUAUAGAAGAUUUUGAGGUAAAUAAUUGAUAUUGCAGACCAGUGUUAAUCAUGUCCAAUCAUUUAAGUAAACAUUAAACUAAUUCAAUAAUACUGUUAAUUCAUUCAUAGUAACUAUUUUCAGUUCCAGUAAGUUAAAAAGAAUUUGAAGAUGCAUUACAUAUUGAUGAAAUUAUAAAUUUGUUCACUUCUAUCAAAAAUGUGGGUAGUUUCAACAUUCUUUACUUUGUAGCAUUCUCUACUAUUGUGAAACAAGAAUAUUGACAUGUCAGUGUUUUUGUAGCAGUCCUGUUUCACUCUAAAAGGUACCAGUACUUAAAGUCUUGAAGAAAUCAUGAAAUUACCCUUUUUUCAUUGGUAACAAUAACAGAAAAUAGUACUUAGUACAUUAAGCAAUUAGUGCUGUUAGUCUUUUCUUAUAAAUAUUUAUUAUGGAUAUAGGGCCUGCAGUUAACUCUGAAUGUGGGAAUGAUUGUAUGGUGAAAACUAAGACUAUGGGUAAUAUGGACACGAAUAAGUUGAUCAAAAGGUGGGAUUGUUAAAUUUUAUUAAUGAACUGUUUUUGCAGUCAAAUAAUUGGACUGAUUCUCAGCUCUUUGUAGUAUUUUGUCUUUUAUUGUAUGUUAUUAAUUUAAUAGUGUAUUUAAUCUGUUUUUGUUGCACUUUUCAGCACAAUUUGGGUUGCAAAUGAGAUGAGAUCACUAUGAAAUUUAUUUUGCUUAGGCUAAGGCUUUAGGAGGCUAAAUUAAUUAUAUUUGAAUACUCUGUCAUUAUGAAAACAUUGGUUUCUCUUUCACUCUGCAAAGUAGUAAUACCUGCAGUCCUGAAGAAAGCAUGAAGCUGCCUUUAUUGCAUUGACAAUAAAAAUAAUGUGGUAUUGUUAAAAGAAUGGUUUAUGAUAUGAAUUGAUUGGCUAACAAAUAAAAAAGAUUGGGAAGUUAAUUUUAACCCUACCGAUGACAACAUGGGUUGUCUGACCUAGUAUGCUUUCUACACAUGUAAAUCAUGGAACGUUACAUUCUACAGUUAUUCAGUUGUCCACAGCAUAAAUUAAAUUGACAAAAUAAGUUGUCUCCUUUCUAUGGCGUUUUAUCUGUUCCAUCUUGAAGGCUGUUAUAUUUAACUGAUUAAGAAUUUAUUCUACAAGAACAUUAGAAGAACUCAAGAUACCAUUAACUUAUGGAGCACUGGUUGUAUUAGUCCUCAUUUGCUAUAGAAAAUAGAUGUACUUGUGGUCUUAAGGAAAGCAUGAAAGUGCCUUUUUUCCAUUGGGAGAGGAGACAGUGUGCUAAAGAAAGGAUUUAUGACAAUGAACUGGUAUGUAACAGUAUCAAUUAAAAAUAGUAAAUGAGGUUCCAGAAACUUCAAUUUCUUAAGACAUUUAUAACUUGCUUCAAUAAACAACUUUUGAACAAAACAGUAGGAUUAAUGUGGGAC